This 262-nucleotide ribosomal RNA is filed under the name uncultured archaeon. Its description in RNAcentral is "partial 16S ribosomal RNA". It matches the Rfam family "Archaeal small subunit ribosomal RNA", at positions 748 to 1009 of the family's 1478-position model. The record is from RNAcentral.
CAGCCGUAAACUAUGCGCGUUAGGUGUAUCGGUGACCACGAGUUACCGAGGUGCCGAAGGGAAACCGUGAAACGUGCCGCCUGGGAAGUACGGUCGCAAGGCUGAAACUUAAAGGAAUUGGCGGGGGAGCGACCACAACAGGUGGAGCCUGCGGUUUAAUUGGACUCAACGCCGGGAAGCUCACCGGAUAGGACAGCAGAAUGAUUGCCGGGCUGAAGACCCUGCAUGACUAGCUGAGAGGAGGUGCAUGGCGUAGACGUCU